Non-coding RNA from Meleagris gallopavo (turkey), 3132 nucleotides. Lineage: Eukaryota; Metazoa; Chordata; Aves; Galliformes; Phasianidae. The record is from RefSeq and is a predicted model, not a curated record.
CAAUGAUUCAAUUUUCUUGGUAUUCAUUGCUGAGAGUUCAAAAUAGAGAAGGCAUAUGUUGUAGGCCAGUACAUUUUCAAAAGAGCAGUCUUUCUUGGAAGCAGGUGAGAGAUCUCUGCUAACUGAUGUUCAAACUUUUGAUCCCCAUUCCUCUUCUGAUACAUGAGUGCAUGAGCUGCACUGACACCUUUUAGUACAUAGAACUCAAACUGCUCCACAAAGGUUCUUCUGAAAAGGAAAGGCACUUGUCACAGAAGUAUUCUGUAUUACUUGCUCCUCAUUAAAUGUUAGACUUUUGGGGAAAACAUUUAGUCUGUAGUCAAAUGUGUGUGUCCAGGUCGUACGUGCAAGCCUGCAGCAGCUCUCAUUUUGCUAGCUAAGCCCUAACAGCAGGAUAGCCCUGGUAGUGCACAGCUUGGUGUGCUGUGAGUGCUACUCUGCUUUGCAGGGAGGUUUUGUGCAUUGCCCUUGGGCCCCCACUGCUGCAGCCAAGCUAUUAUUGGUGCCUGAGCUGGCUGGCAUAAACCUACUUUGUGUCUGUCUGUGCAGCUUCAGGCAUACCUUUGUCUGCAGUUGUAGACAUUCUCUGUGAUAGGGUUUCUGCCGUGUGGAGCCUGCAGGUCAUGCAAGUAGGUCCCAAGAUACUUAUUUUAUUUGUUAAUGUACUGACUCAAACACAAUGGAAAUAUCUGCAGGGAUGUUGUGGUACGCUGGCCCUGUGCCUCUACCAGUUCUUGCUAAUGCUUCCUGUUCCUCCCCAACGCUGCAGGCCCAGCACCAGGACUCCUGCCAGAACUCCUCCUGGAUGCUGAAGAUUGCUAUGAUGCUGGCGCAGAGUGCAGGAAGGCCAUCUUCUCUUCACACCGUCAGCAUUUCCUCUUUGGUGGCGUGGGAAGCAGAGAGCAACUGGUGAGGACCAAGGCAAAGGCCUCUUCUUGGCCAAGUCUGCUGAAGUCAGACAAAGCACGCGUCUAGAUCUGUGCCUUUGAGCUUCAUGAUGGAUAUAAAACAGGGCAGUAUGGGUGGAGGAAAGGUGUGCCUUGUGCGAGGAACGUCUUCAUCCUCAGUCACACUGCAAACCUGUGUGACUGGAAUCCAGUUUGAUUAAAGGAAGGGGAGUGUGGCCACCAGUGUGAGCAAUGUGUCUGAGUUCACUUGCUGGAAUUAGGAGGUGCUGGUAUUUUCACUUGUAAGUAUUCCCACUUUGUCUCACUUCAUAGGCUUUGGCUUUCUAACCAUGCAAGCAGAAUAUUCAUGCUGAAAAUACUGACAAAUAGUUGCAGGCAUUUUUUAAUGAGAAUAACAUUCUCUCUGUCAAACCCUGAUUUCAGCUAUCACUGGUACUCACAUUUGGGGCUGCCACGUUCUUUACAAAAUGUGGGCACUUGUAAAGGAAGAAAGUGACUGUAAGUAACUGGGAUGACUGGUUGGAGCCCGCAGUAUCCCUGCUAUUCUGGUUUCUGCUUCUUCAGGCGUUCAUUCCUACCCAGUUAUUUCCAUGAUAAUCGAUGGCCCACCCAUUUUUGAGCUAUGUGGGUUAAGACAGACAGAAUCUUUAAAUACGCUGAACAUUCUCGCUCAUUCCCAUCUAUUAUGAUCUUUUUUUUCUGCCUACUUGUGUGAGAGAUAUUAAUAGUUGAGUGGAAGAUGUAUUUUUCUGAUGUUCUUAACAUCCAAGGGGUCAAACAAUUCUGUAUUUGUAUUUAUUAUGUGUACAUCAUUGGGUUCUCUGAAUUCCUGCUGCUGAUGGUUGAAGUAAAAGCUACAUUCAUGCUGGAUCAAAACUCAGCUGAGCAUUAUCCUUCCAAGCCUGAAGCAUUGUAGAGCAUGUACACGCAGGCACUUGCUAGUUUUUUGUCCAUAGCCAAGUUAUCCAGCUUUUUCCAAGAGCAGAAGCCUUCCUGGGUUAAUGGAAAUUCUGAAAUAUUUUGAGAUACAGUCCACAUAAUUCAAAGAGUAGAAUUUUUCAUGUUCCUUGAGGCAGAUUCAAUUAACAUUUUGCUCAGGAGCAGUACAGAUCCUGUCUCAGUACCACUGGUGGGGGCAUUCAGGAAGGUUUGGACAAGUUGUUUUCAUUUAUUUUUUUUCUUUGUGUAUUGAAAUUCCUCAAGUGUCUGAAGUGAUUGACUUUGUUACGGUGGUGGAUGAGAAAUAUUUGUGGCUGGAAUUAUUAAGGUUGUUAAAUGAACAAAGGCUCAUUUUACUUUUUUACUACCACUACCAAAUUGCUAGGUUUUCAUUGCAUAGAAACAGGUACCUCCUAGUUUUUGCCUAGAAACCUUGAUCAUGAGCUCUGAUCCUCCAAGAUGUUGCACAAGCAAAGAACACAAACGUGGCUGAUUUUCAACACUUGCACGGAUUGACUGAGCUGCUCUAUUCCCUGCACUAGCUAUGAAACACCAGUCAGCAGACGCGGGUGUGACUCUGGACAAAAUUCAUGUAGGUUUGACAAUGGUAGGAUAUUUUCAAGGGAAUGGGGAUUUUUUCCCAAGUUGAAAGGACUUGAGAACAUGAGAAGGUGUGAGGUUACGUACGGUUGGCAAGCCAGUGAUAGGACCAAAGUGAGAUGGUGGGAGUCUGCACGAGAGCAUUGCAUGAAGGGCGAAUAAAAGGGGAAAGCCCAACUGAGCAGGGUGUUCAGGGCAGCGAGCUGCAUGACAAACGUGGGGCCUGCUUGAUGGUAGGUUAGAGGCUCUUCUUUUUGUAUGCUUUGAAGGAAUGGCUGGCUGCAAAGACAGGCAAAGAUUUUCACUGGGGUAAGAUAACUCCCGAAUGGAGAGGUAGAUCCCAAAUGGAGAGGCUCUUUCUGAAUGCAUGUUAUGUGUUUUAGUUUUAUGGGCUAGGUUCACCUUGCAGUGAGUACAGAGGGAAUGAUGAUAAUUACUGACCGGCUGGGGAACUGGGUGCAAGGAGGGGACCGGGGGAAGGCAGCCCUGGAAACGGAGGGAGAGCAAAACAUCCCAGAGAGCCAGGCUGAUAACGCUGUCACGAUGGAAACGAAGCAGUAUUCCAGAAACCAGGCCAAGAAGCGGAUGUCACAAACCUUGGCAGAGGGUCGGAGCCAGAUAAGGGAAAGCCGAGGGUGGGCUCGGGGCGGGGGCUGCAGGCAGCACUGAGAGCCGGGAGGGGAGA